Capsicum annuum is the source of this 1131-nucleotide RNA transcript. It is a transcript of the gene named pleiotropic drug resistance protein 1-like, with no coding region annotated. Lineage: Eukaryota; Viridiplantae; Streptophyta; Magnoliopsida; Solanales; Solanaceae. The transcript has 4 exons. The record is from RefSeq and is a predicted model, not a curated record.
UACAGUGCGGUUAAAAGAUCCUCAUUCUGGCUUACCAAUUAUCGCUGAGGGAAUGCCAUUUUGGGUUGCUGAUCCAUUUGAUUUCGGUAGUGGACUUGUGAAUGCACAUGCUGCAAAUAAUUCGGGCCUCAUCUAUGAUAUGGGAACCUUUGACUACAUUCUUUAUUUGCUCUCGAUGGGCUACAAGAGUAGCCACAUCAGCAACAUGAUUGACGAAGGAGCUGCAUCUUUCCCAAUCAAGAGGCCUUCGAUUCUUGACGUCAAUCUUUCUUCUUUAAUCGUACCAAGUCUCAAAGAUACUCAAUGUUAGAAGAACCGUCACCAACAUUGGACCAGAGAACUCCAAAUAUGAAGCCAUCAUUGAGCCUCCACCAGGCAUUACCAUAAAAGUAAAGCCUGACACUUUGAUAUUCAACUCCGACACCGAGCAAAUCUCUUUCACUCUCACCAUUUCAGCCACUCACGAAUACAACACAACGUUUGAGUUCGGGAGCCUUACUUAGACUGACGGGGUGCACCAAGCUUUAAUACCAUGGCGCUGAAGCAACAUUUUGGAAAAAAAACUUUUGGAACUUGAAGAGGAAAGAAGAGCGGUGCAGGUAAUAAAAACAAGUGCGAGAUAGAUUAUUAGCUAAGGUUGAAAACCGUGCAGCCAAUACCGAUGGACAAGCAAUAAAAUUGCAAUACACACAUUCCCCGAAACUAAAGUCCCUUGAUGCACAGGAAUUUGCUGAGGUAUAUAAGUCGUUCCAUGUUGGAGAGAAACUCGCCAAUGAGCUUGCAACUCCAUGUGACAAGAGCAAAAGCCACCCCACUGCUUUGUCUACUAAGAAGAAUUGUAUAGGAAUGAAACAAAUGUUUAAGGUCUGCGCUGAAUGAGAAUUCCUACUAAUGAAGAGGAGUGCAUUUGUAUACAUAUUAAAGAUGUUUCAGGUACCGACUACUUGGUUUAUUAGAAACAUAAUCAAGGAAUGUAUGUUGGUGCUCUCUUUAUCGUGGUCGUUAUGAUCAUGUUUAACGGAAUGGCUGAGAUCAACCUGACUAUUUUAAAGCUUACCGACUUCUUCAAGCAAAGGGACCUCCUCUUUUACACUUCAUUGGCUUUUUCCCUUCCAACAUGGAUUCCCAGAA